RNAcentral lists this ribosomal RNA (393 nucleotides) under uncultured bacterium. Its description in RNAcentral is "partial 16S ribosomal RNA". It matches the Rfam family "Bacterial small subunit ribosomal RNA", at positions 118 to 507 of the family's 1533-position model. The record is from RNAcentral.
UCGGAACGUGCCAUUGAGUGGGGGAUAACGUAGCGAAAGUUGCGCUAAUACCGCAUAUUCUGUGAGCAGGAAAGCAGGGGACCGCAAGGCCUUGCGCUCUUUGAGCGGCCGAUGUCAGAUUAGCUAGUUGGCGGGGUAAUGGCCCACCAAGGCUCCGAUCGGUAGCCGGCCUGAGAGGGCGGACGGCCACACUGGAACUGAGACACGGUCCAGACUCCUACGGGAGGCAGCAGUGGGGAAUUUUUCGCAAUGGGCGCAAGCCUGACGAAGCAACGCCGCGUGGAGGAUGAAGGUCUUCGGAUUGUAAACUCCUGUCGACCGGGACGAAUGCACUCGACCUAAUACGUCGGAAUGUUGACGGUACCGGUGGAGGAAGCCACGGCUAACUCUGUG